CAUCUCUGAACCUGAGGCUCAUUCAUGGAGUGUUCUGUGUGGUUGGAUGAACGACGAGAGGGGACGGCGUAGAAAACAAUCAGUAUGAAGCCCAAAGCAGAGCUCAUUUGGAACAUAAUACAACAGAGCCACCAGGUGAUAUCUGCGGUAAGAAAAGGCAUAAAACCUACGACAGCCAGAGGUUGAGGCCUAAUUAAUAUAUGUAAAUGUUGAUCAGCUUUCUUCACGGGGACAGAGGACAAGACUAACCAGGGCACCUUCAUGAAGGAUGUGCUAAUUCUUAUGGCAAGCAGCACUGAUCAUCUGCCACGUUGGUGAUGAACGCUAUAGAAAUUAUUCUAAUGUCUGCACUACCUCUCUUCCCUCCUCACUGUCACUAUUACAACCUCUUACAGGAAAGAGGAGCUUGAUACAGUCAGGCUUCACUGUGAAGGGCUUCUCUACACAAAGUUUUUGCCAG
Molecule: non-coding RNA, 460 nt
Organism: Pelodiscus sinensis (Chinese soft-shelled turtle)
Lineage: Eukaryota; Metazoa; Chordata; Testudines; Trionychidae
Source: RefSeq, a predicted model, not a curated record